Molecule: transfer RNA, 64 nt
Filed under: Apharyngostrigea pipientis
Lineage: Eukaryota; Metazoa; Platyhelminthes; Trematoda; Diplostomida; Strigeidae
Description: tRNA-Ala
Source: RNAcentral
GACGACGUAGUUUAGGUUUUUAAAAUAUGUGUUUUGCAGGUACAAGAUGGGUUUCUCGUUGUUG